This 764-nucleotide ribosomal RNA is filed under the name uncultured fungus. Its description in RNAcentral is "SSU rRNA". It matches the Rfam family "Eukaryotic small subunit ribosomal RNA", at positions 803 to 1591 of the family's 1831-position model. Lineage: Eukaryota; Fungi. The record is from RNAcentral.
UUUAGCAUGGAAUAAUGAAAUAGGACUUUGUUUUAUUUUGUUGGUUUAGGAAACAAAGUAAUGAUUAAUAGGGAUGGUUGGGGGCAUUAGUAUUCCACAGUCAGAGGUGAAAUUCUUGGAUUUGUGGAAGACUAACUUCUGCGAAAGCAUUUGUCAGGGACGUUUUCAUUAAUCAAGCACGAAAGUUAGGGGAUCGAAGACGAUCAGAUACCGUCGUAGUCUUAACAGUAAACUAUGCCGAUUCAGGAUCCUAGAGUGUUAUUUUAAUGACCUCUAGGGCACUGUAUGAGAAAUCAAAAUUUUUGGGUUCCGGGGGGAGUAUGGUCGCAAGGCUGAAACUUAAAGGAAUUGACGGAAGGGCACCACCAGGAGUGGAGCCUGCGGCUUAAUUUGACUCAACACGGGGAAACUCACCAGGUCCAGACAUAAGUAGGAUUGACAGAUUGAUAGCUCUUUCUUGAUUUUAUGGGUGGUGGUGCAUGGCCGUUCUUAGUUGGUGGAGUGAUUUGUCUGGUUAAUUCCGUUAACGAACGAGACCUUAACCUGCUAAAUAGUUGAACCAACUUUGGUUGGUCCCGACUUCUUAGAGGGACUAUGGAUGUUUAAUCCAUGGAAGUUUGAGGCAAUAACAGGUCUGUGAUGCCCUUAGAUGUUUUGGGCCGCACGCGCGCUACACUGAUGAAGGCAACAAGUAAUUCACCUUGGCCGGAAGGUCCGGGUAAUCUUUUGAAACUUCAUCGUGCUGGGGAUAGGGCAUUGCAAUA